Molecule: ribosomal RNA, 468 nt
Filed under: uncultured bacterium
Lineage: Bacteria
Description: partial 16S ribosomal RNA
Rfam family: Bacterial small subunit ribosomal RNA
Source: RNAcentral
GAUGAACGCUGACAGAAUGCUUAACACAUGCAAGUCUACUUGAAUUUGGGUUUUUUAACUUAGAUUUGGGUGGCGGACGGGUGAGUAACGCGUAAAGAACUUGCCUCACAGCUAGGGACAACAUUUGGAAACGAAUGCUAAUACCUGAUAUUAUGAUUAUAAGGCAUCUUAGAAUUAUGAAAGCUAUAUGCGCUGUGAGAGAGCUUUGCGUCCCAUUAGCUAGUUGGAGAGGUAACGGCUCACCAAGGCGAUGAUGGGUAGCCGGCCUGAGAGGGUGAGCGGCCACAAGGGGACUGAGACACGGCCCUUACUCCUACGGGAGGCAGCAGUGGGGAAUAUUGGACAAUGGACCAAGAGUCUGAUCCAGCAAUUCUGUGUGCACGAUGACGUUUUUCGGAAUGUAAAGUGCUUUCAGUUGGGAAGAAAAAAAUGACGGUACCAACAGAAGAAGUGACGGCUAAAUACGUG